This 1312-nucleotide long non-coding RNA is filed under the name Daucus carota (carrot). RNAcentral describes it as "long non-coding RNA (DCAR_LNC007635)". The record is from RNAcentral. Lineage: Eukaryota; Viridiplantae; Streptophyta; Magnoliopsida; Apiales; Apiaceae.
UUGCUGCACCCAUAUCUUUCAUCUCAAACUCUUCAGACAUCUGUCUCUUUAACUUGUUGAUUUCCCUCAUGUUUGAUCCUGCUAUUAACAUGUCAUCAACAUACAACAACAAUAUGAUAUAUGAUGAGUCAAACCGUUUAAAGUAACAACAAUGAUCCAUUGCACUCCUUGUGUACCCAUUCCUCAUCAUAAAGCUGUCAAACUUCAAGUACCAUUGUCGUGGUGCUUGCUUCAAACCAUACAAGCUUUUUAUAAGCUUGCAAACAAGGUUUUCUUUUCCAGCUAUCUGAAAACCCUCUGGCUGUACCAUGUAGAUGUCUUCAUCAAGAUCACCAUGUAAGAACGCGGUUUUAACAUCCAGUUGCUCUAGAUGUAAUUCCUCAGCAGCCACAAUACUUAACACAAUUCUGAUAGUAGUCAUCUUAACAACCGGAGAAAAUAUAUCAGUAUAGUCAAUACCCUUUUUCUGUUGAUAACCCUUGACUACUAACCUUGCUUUGUACCUCUUGCUGCCAUCAGGUUCAUCUUUGAUCCUGAACACCAACUUAUUCUGUAAAGCCUUCUUCCCUGCUGGUAAUUCCGUUAAAGACCAAGUAUCAUUCUUCUCAAGAGAAUUCAUCUCUUCUUCCAUGGCUGAUUUCCACUUAACUGAAUCAUCCACCUGAACUGCCUCUGAAUAACACUGAGGCUCUCCAUCCUCGGUCAAUAACAUAUAAUAUGCUGAAGGUGAAAAUCCAGCUAUCUGAAAACCCUCUGGCUGUACCAUGUAGAUGUCUUCAUCAAGAUCACCAUGUAAGAACGCGGUUUUAACAUCCAGUUGCUCUAGAUGUAAUUCCUCAGCAGCCACAAUACUUAACACAAUUCUGAUAGUAGUCAUCUUAACAACCGGAGAAAAUAUAUCAGUAUAAUCAAUACCCUUUUUCUGUUGAUACCUCUUGACUACUAACCUUGCUUUGUAUCUCUUACUGCCAUCAGGUUCAUCUUUGAUCCUGAACACCCACUUAUUCUGUAAAGCCUUCUUCCCUGCUGGUAAUUCUGUUAAAGACCAAGUAUCAUUCUUCUCAAGAGAAUUCAUCUCUUCUUCCAUGGCUGAUUUCCACUUAACUGAAUCAUCCACCUGAACUGCCUCUGAAUAACACUGAGGCUCUCCAUCCUCGGUCAAUAACAUAUAAUAUGCUGAAGGUGAAAAUCUUUGUGGUGGCCUCACAGUUCUGCUAGAUUUUCUUACCUCAGCCUCUGGAGUAACUGGAACAUUAUCAGAACUCCCACUAUUUCUUGCAAGAUCUUCUUCUGUAAUAUCAUCAAGCACUGC